AAAUUCUCAACGGUGGAUGUCUUGGUUCCCACAACGAUGAAGAACGCAGCGAAGUGCGAUAAGCAGUGCGAAUUGCAGAACCGUGAGUCAUCAGAUUUUUGAACGCAACUGGCGCCGUGCGGGGUGACCCGCCGGCACGCCUGGUCCAGUGUCUUGU
Molecule: ribosomal RNA, 157 nt
Filed under: uncultured Sporadotrichida
Lineage: Eukaryota; Ciliophora; Spirotrichea; Sporadotrichida
Description: 5.8S ribosomal RNA
Rfam family: 5.8S ribosomal RNA
About the family: 5.8S ribosomal RNA (5.8S rRNA) is a component of the large subunit of the eukaryotic ribosome.
Source: RNAcentral